AAGUUAAAAGAAAAUAUUCGCAAAAGUUGGAGAACCAAAUACAAGCUACCCCCCGUAAUCGGCACUCACUCUACCGCGUCCCUUCCCUCUCUUCUCUCAGUCUCUGAGAUCACAUUCAUCAAUUUUGGGCCCAUGAGAACUUGUAAUUGCGAAUCGGAGCCUGAGCCCAUGGAAUCAGACUCUCCAGAUGAUUUUCGUCGAGACUCACUAGACUUUGAUCACUGGACUUCACUCAUUU
This is a non-coding RNA of Prunus avium (sweet cherry), 238 nucleotides long. NCBI's taxonomy places the organism in Eukaryota, Viridiplantae, Streptophyta, Magnoliopsida, Rosales, Rosaceae. The record is from RefSeq and is a predicted model, not a curated record.